CACUUUUUCUUCUGUGGGCCUACUUGAGUUUCAGCACUAAAUUCAAGACAUUUUUGCCUUUGAGGCAAUAGACCCUAAUCCCGUCCUUCUGUGAACAUUUCUGGCUUAUUUCUGGAGAAGUGGGGGAGACGGGGCAUGCUGCAGAACAAGGGAGAGUCGUGUAGAUAUGACUGUGGCAUGGAAGAACGUCUGGGAGGACAGGGUUUGCGGCAGCAUGAGUCACGUGGCUUCAGUAAGCGAUAGAGCGGGAGGAGAGCAUUGACGUGGAGAUCCCACUGAGAGAAGGGGAGGAGUCUGCAGGGAAUUAACGAGAAUGCUGAGAGCAUCAGUAGAUAAGACCGAUGACCUUAUGUGGAUCAGGUUCUUAACUGCAGGUAUCAGAAUCCACUUAUGCUAAUUUAAGCAGGAAGGGGUUUACUAAAGGGUGUUAAUUGAUUUACAGAAUCUCUAGGAAGGCCACCAGGCUUGGAAGUUGUACAUAAGAACAAGGCAGCCACAGGUAGUGCAGCCAGGAGAAAUGAGGAGAAAUCAGACCUUAAAAGAGUGGUCUCAAGGUGUGUUCCCAGACCAGCAACAUUAGCGUCACCUGAGCAUUUAGUAGAAACGCCAACUCUGACACCUCACCCCAGACCCACUGAAUGAGCAACUCUGGGGAUGAGGUCCAGCAGUCUGUGCUUUAACAAGCUUUCCAGAGCCCAAAAGUCCCAUCUGGUUUCAGUAUCAAGCUCAAAGCUGAGGAUCUCAUGACAGCCUCUAUGUUAGAGAAUGAGGCGCAGUCUCAUCGGUCUGGAGUAUGGCUGCUCUUGAUCUGGAAACUAGUGGACUAGAAAGGAACUUGAAAGUGGGACUCCACAAGCAACUGACAGAAAGACAGCCUCACCCUCAUCAACCACCAUUCUUGCUCCUCAUCUCACUGGUUCUUCAGAAGAGGGGACUCGAGCAUUGGGAAGGGAGUUGGACUGCUGGCCCCACGCUUCUUCCCAAGUCUGUUUAAUCAACUAUUCUACUUAUUCUUUCAUUUGUUCAGGAAGCAUCCAUUGGUCUGUGAUUUGUAAGCACUUCAUGAUAUUUCAUGAAAUCUCUACAUUCCAUCCAUUUGGCUUGCUGGAAGUUCAGUGACCCUGAGUCUGGAGGCAGGGGGUUAUUAUCACCUACAUUUUACAGAUGUGGAAACUCAGGCUCAAAAAGGUGGCGUAACUUGCCCACAGUCUCAGCUGUAAAGUGGGAAACCGGGAAUCUAGUUAAGUCUGUCUGAAUCCAGAGCUCCUGCAUUUUCCUCCUGGAGCAGGGUAUCGCUCCUUCUCCCAUCCACAGGCUUGGGGUUGGUUUGGGGUCGGUUGUAUGGUGGUGGUGGUGGUGGCCAUAUGGCACAGGGAGGAAGAACACCAUGCUUCUCAGGUAAUACGGAGGAUAGUGCAAUAUGCAGACGUAGACACAAGGGGGCAGAGAGCCACAGGGCACACAGCUCCCCUGGCCGGGGCUGGGUAUGGUUCUUGUUUCUUGCUUCCUAUACUUUUUUUUUUAAAUUAAGAAAAGGAUGUGUACAACUAUUAAAUAUAUACCUGAACUAUAAAUGUUUCAUAAUAUGCUGCAAGAAAUAGUGGAGGAAUUGAAGAACGUAAAACAAAUGUGGAGAGGAAAGAAUGAGAGCAGUGACGUCUCAACACGGUACAAGGCAAAGAGUCACUUAAAAUUUCUUUUUUCUUUUUUUAUGAGUAUGGUGAUUUAGAUGAAACAUUGCAACAAUUUCUUACUCAAUGGUAUUUUAAUUCCUACCUUUUCUUUUUUUUUGGAAAAAAAUUAGACCUCUUUAAAUUAUUUUUACUGGAGGGAAAAAUAUCUUUAAUUAUGGAACAGGAAGGGAAUAUAAUCUCAUUUUAUAGGAAAGAAGUCUGCAUGGAUGGUGUUUUAUUUUAGUCUUUCAGUAUUUUAGAAUGUUAGUACUCAGACUUGAAGUCAUGUUGUGUUUCUACAACUGUAGGCAGAAAUAGGCUCAUCUCUUGAUAUUGCCCGCAGAGUGAAUGGAGUUAAGGCAAGAGCCGGAUCUGGUGUAGCUGGUCCAGGGAGCCCCCUUGGGGCCCUCACUUUACAUGAUGUGAAGUUCAGUAUGUCCACGGCCUACAGGAGAAAAUAAUUUUGGCUUUUUUUGAAGGAGUCUGGAACAUGCUUUCAAAAACGAAGACUCUCCCACUUAAACCACAUGGAAAUCUGAAGCAUUCUAUUUUGUGUGCUGUGAUUAUUGGUCACUGAAGCUUCAUUAGUGAAAAGAAACACCCAGCAGAGCAGGAGCCAAGCGUUUGGUCUAGUGAGAAAUGAGGGCCUGAAGCUGUCAGCUGCAGAAUGGAAGGGGGGCCCGUGGCAGGGCAGUACCUUCCUGCCCUGUAACUCAGAACCAGCAAAGGGGGUCAAUGUUUUGCUUGUUUAGUCCCUUAUUAAACUGGACUUCAUCUCCAUAUUGAUCGCCUUCCGUGCAGGUGAAUGGAUAUGUUAGGAGUGUAUUGUUCUGAUCAGUCCUGGUUGUCUAGCGAUAUAUCCACUGAUACGGAUAAGGCCAUCCCUCAUAACCCUUGUUGGAGCCAUGCUCCUCUGCAUCAUGCAGACACAUUUCCUUGGCAAAGAAGACCAGUGUUUGAUGUUCAGAAAUGAGAGAACCCAAGGAGCCUCAGCUCUUUGUGGAACACACUGGGGAGAAGUUAUGAGUAAUAAAGUGGGUGACAUGAGGGCUGAAGUUUAAGAACUCCUGUGGCAGUUUGGUUGGGCUCAGUUGGAGGGUGUGGGAGGAAUGUGAUGGGGCUGAACCCAAAUUAUGGAGGAAACUUCAUCAUGCCAGACCAAGGAGGAAGUGAGGGAUCCAUUGGGUGGCUUUAAGCAGGGAAUAAUAUGACCACACUGGAGGUGGAAAGUCUGGCGGUGGGGAGAUCAAUUCAGACCCUCUUGCAACAGUCCAGGAGCGGUGGUACCCUGGAUCAAGGGACUAGAGGAGAGAAGGGGAUGGACAAGAGUGCUCAGGGAGGUGGACUUGAUGACCACUAGCUAAUGGGAUUUGAUGAGGUGAUGCAUGUGAAGUGUUUAGCACAGUAUCAGGCCCACAGGAAGUUACUGAUAAACAGCAGCUGCCAUUGUAUGGGCGGACAGGAGAGGGAGCCGUUACAGAGGAGGGGAGCCUUGAACAUUCUACAGUGCAACCCGACCCAGGAGUGAUGGAAUCAGUUACUCCGAGACUAAGAGGAUCACAGGAGUGAAUGAAGCCCACCACUGCCUCACAGCAGAUCCUAAUUCCUGAGAGGACCUCCUUUCCCCUCACACCCCGCAAAGACAGCUGCAGAUUCCUCAGAAAAAUCUUCCCACUGUCCAUGGGCUUCUAUCCUUUUUCCUUUCUCCCCAUCAGAGCAGCUUGCCGGGCGGGGUUCAGUCCUGCAGUGGACAAUCCAAUCUGAACAUGGACGUCUACAGCUUAACGGGUUACCCACCGGCCCAGCUGUUGGCCAUGCUCACAGGGUAACUAGGAAG
This 3510-nucleotide long non-coding RNA is filed under the name Equus caballus (horse). Its description in RNAcentral is "lncRNA (ENSECAG00000047018.1)". Lineage: Eukaryota; Metazoa; Chordata; Mammalia; Perissodactyla; Equidae. The record is from RNAcentral.